AGGAAAGAUGGCCGAGUGGUCGAAGGCGUAGCAUUGGAAAUGCUAUGUAGACUUACGUUUACCGAGGGUUCGAAUCCCUCUCUUUCCUU
Molecule: transfer RNA, 89 nt
Filed under: Funaria hygrometrica
Lineage: Eukaryota; Viridiplantae; Streptophyta; Bryopsida; Funariales; Funariaceae
Also listed under: 1 other name
Description: tRNA-Ser
Rfam family: tRNA
About the family: Transfer RNA (tRNA) molecules are approximately 80 nucleotides in length. Their secondary structure includes four short double-helical elements and three loops (D, anti-codon, and T loops).
Source: RNAcentral